RNAcentral lists this ribosomal RNA (239 nucleotides) under uncultured bacterium. RNAcentral describes it as "partial 16S ribosomal RNA". It matches the Rfam family "Bacterial small subunit ribosomal RNA", at positions 15 to 236 of the family's 1533-position model. The record is from RNAcentral.
GAUCCUGGCUCAGGAUGAACGCUGGCGGCGUGCUUAACACAUGCAAGUCGAACGAAGCACUUAAGAUUGAUCCUUCGGAUGAUUUCUUUUGUGACUUAGUGGCGGACGGGUUAGUAACGCGUGGGUAACCUGCCUUACACAGGGGGAUAACAGUUAGAAAUGACUGCUAAUACCGCAUAACCCGAUAGGAUCGCAUGAUCCAGACGGAAAAGAUUUAUCGGUGUGAGAUGGACCCGCGU